Non-coding RNA from Tulasnella sp. 427, 92 nucleotides. NCBI's taxonomy places the organism in Eukaryota, Fungi, Basidiomycota, Agaricomycetes, Cantharellales, Tulasnellaceae. The record is from the annotation of a GenBank genome assembly.
GGUUCAUUAGUGUAGCGGUUAUCACUUCGGAUUCUGAUGGGUUUCGACCCGCGGAUAUUCCGACAACCCCGGUUCGAAUCCGGGAUGGACCU